UACGGGGGGGGCAAGCGUUGUUCGGAAUUACUGGGCGUAAAGGGCGCGUAGGCGGCCUGCUAAGUCGGACGUGAAAUCCCUCGGCUCAACCGGGGAACUGCGUCCGAUACUGGCGAGGCUUGAAUCCGGGAGAGGGAUGUGGAAUUCCAGGUGUAGCGGUGAAAUGCGUAGAUAUCAAGAGGAACACCUGAGGCGAAGGCGGGUUGCUUGUCUGACACUGACGCUGAGGCGCGAAAGCCAGGGGAGCAAACAGG
Molecule: ribosomal RNA, 254 nt
Filed under: uncultured bacterium
Lineage: Bacteria
Description: partial 16S ribosomal RNA
Rfam family: Bacterial small subunit ribosomal RNA
Source: RNAcentral